GCCAAUGUAUUGUAGUGGUUUGAGUGUUAGACUAUGACUCUGGGGACCAAGGUUCGAAUCCUUGCUCUGUUA
Non-coding RNA from Phrynosoma platyrhinos (Desert horned lizard), 72 nucleotides. Lineage: Eukaryota; Metazoa; Chordata; Lepidosauria; Squamata; Phrynosomatidae. The record is from the annotation of a GenBank genome assembly.